ACAAAUAUUUAAGUUAAAUACAUUAUUUACUCAAGCAGGCGUGGGCGGCUGUUGUUAUCAAAUUUAUAAUCAUGGUGUCAAGCUAGCUCUAGCCACUUUCACUUUCACUGCAGCGAAUGUGAAAACAGAAGAGAGAGAGAGUUAUCAAAAACAGAUGCUUUCUCAAUAAUAGUAGUAUACAAAAACCACCAAAAAAAAAAAAGAAGAGCCAGAAACCCAAUGAGUGUUUGUGUUUUCUUACUGGCAAUUAGGUAGCUGUGAUUCAUCAAAAACUAGACCUGCCGAUAAAUAAACCCAUCACGCUUUCAACCACAGGAAGCAAAAUUAUAACAACAGCAACAACAAGAGAAGAAGGGCGGCGACCAUUGGAGCGUAGCUCAGUGGAACAGAGCACUAGAUAUAGUUGGAGUAGCACAAAAUAACAGAAACGCCGUACUCAAUUUAGCCGCAGCCACAGCAAGAGGGCUGCAUCAAUAGUCAUAGCAUGGGCAACGACGAUUAUAGGCGACAUAGGAAGACACCUUGCGGCUGUUGCAUGUCUGUGUUCAAGUUCAUACCCGUGCUCUUUAUAUUCGCUGUCAUCGGCUGGUCCUAUUAUGCCUACGUGGUGGAGCUAUGUGUUCUAAAUACGGAAAACCGCAUAGCUAUGAUAUUCAUGCUACUGUUUUAUCAUAUAACACUGGUGCUAUUCCUAUGGUCAUAUUGGAAAACGAUUUUAACUUCGGUGGGCCGCGUGCCAGAUCAAUGGCGCAUACCGGACGAGGAAGUAAAUCGUCUAUUCCAUGCGGACAAUCCAGAGGCACAAAAACGCAUUUUAAAUAAUUUUGCGCGCAAUUUGCCAGUGACAAAUCGCACAAUGAACGGCUCUGUGCGCUUUUGUGAGAAAUGCAAGAUUAUUAAGCCGGAUCGUGCGCAUCAUUGUAGCGUCUGUAGUUGUUGUGUGCUUAAAAUGGAUCAUCAUUGCCCUUGGGUUAACAAUUGUGUUAAUUUUUAUAACUACAAAUUCUUUGUGUUGUUUUUGGGCUACGCAUUGAUAUACUGUCUCUACGUUGCCUUCACCUCAUUGCAUGACUUUAUACAGUUCUGGAAGAAUGACAAUGACUACUUGGAACAGGGGCAACUCAAUGGCACCGGAAUGGGUCGCUUUCACAUACUAUUCCUGUUCUUUAUAUCCAUCAUGUUUGCCAUCAGUUUGGUGAGUCUAUUUGGUUAUCACAUCUAUCUGGUGCUCGUCAAUCGUACCACACUGGAGGCCUUUCGAGCGCCCAUCUUUCGAGUUGGCGGUCCAGAUAAAAAUGGAUACAAUCUCGGACGUUAUGCUAAUUUCUGUGAGGUCUUUGGCGAUGAUUGGAAACUCUGGUUUUUGCCUAUAUUUACCAGUCGCGGUGACGGAAUGAGCUACCCAACGAGCACGGACCAGUCUGGCGGAGGACGUUACAAUGCCAUGGGUGACACCAACACCAACAGCAUAACGAACAGGUUAGAUGUUCAGCCUACAGAUAAAUUGAUUGAUGCAAUCGCACUCAAUAAUCAUCAACCUCAUUUGGAGCUAGCCGACGGACAAAUGCCUAGUAAUAAUCAUGCUGCAUUACCACCUAGUCAAGUCAUUGUUAAUAUUGAAAAUCAACUGGGCGCAAUAACGGUAUCGAAUGCCAAUAAUACCCACAAUGCUGAAGUAGCUAACGAUCAGAUUGGUGAUCAGACGCAGUCUGCUGGCAAGCAAAUUAAUGGCGGGCCAGCCAUUCUUACGCUAGAAAAGAUUGUCUAAACUGCAACAAGUUGUUCUAUCUAUAAGGUAUAUGUAUGUGCUAAAAUUCGCCAGAGCUAGCGCCAGUCGCAACAGUUUUUUGUAAAUCUGUAUGUAAUAUUUAUAAACCUGCUUGCCCCAGUUGGUCUGUAAGAAAGCAAUUGACAUACGUACAUGUGUUUUAAACGAGAGAGACUAUACAAUAUAUAUAUUAUAUAUCAUUAAAUAAAGCUUUAGUGUUAGUUAGUUAAGUAAAGUAAGCUAAGAACUUGUUUGUUGGUCAGGCUUAGAAUAUAACUAAAAGCACAUUUUGUAAGCAAUCUAAAGAAAUUAUUAAACUGAUUAAAACUCUGGGAGCGAAUUACUCAUUUGCAGUUUAUUGCAAUGCCAAUGAGAAUAAUUCAAUUACAGUUCAAUAUAUUUUUAACUUAGCUAUAAAUCAUUUUUUGAGCAU
Molecule: RNA transcript, 2201 nt
Organism: Drosophila busckii
Lineage: Eukaryota; Metazoa; Arthropoda; Insecta; Diptera; Drosophilidae
Gene name: palmitoyltransferase ZDHHC15B
Exons: 8
Source: RefSeq, a predicted model, not a curated record